CCUACGGGAGGCAGCAGUGGGGAAUAUUGCACAAUGGGGGAAACCCUGAUGCAGCGACGCCGCGUGAGCGAUGAAGUAUUUCGGUAUGUAAAGCUCUAUCAGCAGGGAAGAAAAUGACGGUACCUGACUAAGAAGCCCCGGCUAACUACGUGCCAGCAGCCGCGGUAAUACGUAGGGGGCAAGCGUUAUCCGGAUUUACUGGGUGUAAAGGGAGCGUAGACGGCUGUGCAAGCCAGAUGUGAAAGCCCGUGGCCCAACCACGGGACUGCUUUGGAAACUGUGUUGCUGGAGUGCAGGAGGGGUAAGCGGAAUUCCUAGUGUAGCGGUGAAAUGCGUAGAUAUUAGGAGGAACACCGGUGGCGAAGGCGGCUUACUGGACUGUAACUGACGUUGAGGCUCGAAGGCGUGGGGAGCAAACAGGAUUAGAUACCCUAGUAGUC
Molecule: ribosomal RNA, 440 nt
Filed under: uncultured bacterium
Lineage: Bacteria
Description: partial 16S ribosomal RNA
Rfam family: Bacterial small subunit ribosomal RNA
Source: RNAcentral